This is a microRNA precursor of Gallus gallus (chicken), 100 nucleotides long. Lineage: Eukaryota; Metazoa; Chordata; Aves; Galliformes; Phasianidae. The record is from Ensembl.
UUGAUGUAUUUAGUUAUUAAUUGCUAAUUUAGUGUGACAAGAAUGAGAUACUUUCACAUGAUGUCUUGCUGAUGGAAGUAAUUUUUGUUGAUGCAGUUAG